Molecule: long non-coding RNA, 313 nt
Filed under: Cavia porcellus (domestic guinea pig)
Lineage: Eukaryota; Metazoa; Chordata; Mammalia; Rodentia; Caviidae
Description: lncRNA (ENSCPOG00000030539.1)
Source: RNAcentral
AGUGCUGUUAGGAAACUCCAGUCAUCUCAAAAUAAAACAUGAAAAAUCAAGUAUCUCAUACUUUAUGGGAUUCCUGGCAGAACUCUGAUGAAGAUUUGGAAUCCAUUUCUUUGCUGACUCUGCCACGUGUUACCAUUCUCCUCAAACCAUGAGCUAAUGCAGCAGGGAGCAGACCAUCUGGUAUCAUUCGAGAGCUAAAUUUAAUCUUCAUGGGUAAGACAAAUAUGCUCAAGAGGAGCUUCCAUAUAUGCCUAACUAGAACUUUCUCUCUCAUGCCACAUCGGCUAAAUUAAAUACACACUCAGAAACAGCA